AACUAGGACAGAUUUUGAGGGGGAAAAUGCCAGAAUUUUUGAAACAAGAUGACUUUGCUUCUUUUUCUGUAAGCUGUACAUCUAUCACCAUCAGAAGCAAACACAUCUGGGCCAUUUCUGAAGAAUGAAUCAAGUCUUUUCAGACCAAAGAAAAGGUAAAGCAGAGACAUCAUUUCAUCCUUAUGCAGCAGACAACCUGGCAGUAAAACAUCAAAUUCAGUAGUUACAAUUGGAGACUCAAGGCUCAGCUCUUCUAAGAAGCCCAGAACAUAGCAC
This is a non-coding RNA of Phascolarctos cinereus (koala), 276 nucleotides long. Lineage: Eukaryota; Metazoa; Chordata; Mammalia; Diprotodontia; Phascolarctidae. The record is from RefSeq and is a predicted model, not a curated record.